UAACCGGAAAGAAAAUAAACAUGCCUCAUCAUCGAUCUCUUUUGUUAAAAAGAAAAAACGUCUUGUACACCGCCGCCUGCUUGCUCCCGUCGAUGCCAGCUGCUUGAUUCCCUCGCCACUGCCGUAUACACUCGGGAGUAGAGGAAAGCCAAGGUCUAGGUACCGUCAUCACUGCCAGGAGGAGCAGGAGUAAGUGGGACCAUCCUCCGGCACCGACUCGGCGGCAUCCUCCACCGGCCGCAUCGGUGGUCGCCCCCUCUCUACCCCGUCCGGCGGGGAGGAGUGCCUGCGUGGUCUUGCUUGCAGAGUGUACGCCGUAGCCACCUCCUCUGCAGGUGGCAGAGCGUGAGUCGUCGCCCUUGUUGUCUACACCGCCAGGAGCAAGCCGGAAUUAAGGUUCAGUACGGACCUCGAAACCAGACGUCGAUGUACACUAAUCUUUCCUAUAGAAUCCUAUUUCCAUUCUAACCUUGGACUUCCCCUAAUAUAGUAUACGAAACCGCACAUUCUCACAUGUUGAAAGACACUGAACCGGACUUCAAGUCUAUAAAACGUCAGUUACAUAUAGGUGUUUCAAGGAAACAUCGAGUGCGAUGUACCUUGGAGAAUAGGAGUUG
RNAcentral lists this ribosomal RNA (617 nucleotides) under Triticum aestivum (bread wheat). RNAcentral describes it as "partial small subunit ribosomal RNA". The record is from RNAcentral. Lineage: Eukaryota; Viridiplantae; Streptophyta; Magnoliopsida; Poales; Poaceae.